UACAGAGGUGGCAAGCGUUGUUCGGAAUUACUGGGCGUAAAGGGCGCGUAGGCGGCUUGCCAAGUCACUUGUGAAAUCUCUGGGCUUAACCCAGAACGGCCAAGUGAAACUGGCAUGCUAGAGUGCAGAAGGGGCAAUCGGAAUUCUUGGUGUAGCGGUGAAAUGCGUAGAUAUCAAGAGGAACACCUGAGGUGAAGACGGGUUGCUGGGCUGACACUGACGCUGAGGCGCGAAAGCCAGGGGAGCAAACGGG
Molecule: ribosomal RNA, 253 nt
Filed under: uncultured bacterium
Lineage: Bacteria
Description: partial 16S ribosomal RNA
Rfam family: Bacterial small subunit ribosomal RNA
Source: RNAcentral